GGGUGCAAUCAUACCAAUGUGAAUGCAACGGAUCCCAUUAGAAAUCUGUAGUUAAGCGCACUUGGGAUAGAGUAGUACUGGGAUGGGUGACCUCCUGGAAAUUCAUAGUGUUUCACCCU
This is a non-coding RNA of Picea glauca (white spruce), 119 nucleotides long. NCBI's taxonomy places the organism in Eukaryota, Viridiplantae, Streptophyta, Pinopsida, Pinales, Pinaceae. The record is from Rfam.